GCCAUUCUACUUCAUCAGUGGGCAAAAUGGUAAUUGUGACAAGGGCCAGAAACUCUUCAUAGUUGUCUUGGCUGUUAGGCAUCACAACAAACCAAACCCUCCUGUUGCUCCCACAACUCCCCCUAGCACCAGCCCUACCUCCCCAUCCCCCAAAUCUCCAUCUCCUCAGUACCCUCAUCACCCUCCUGGGACCUCACCAUCACCAGCAUCAGUGGCUAACCCUCCAGCCACCUCACCAUCACCAGUAGUGGCUAGCCCUCCUGCCACCUCCCCAUCACCAGUGGGCUACCCUCCUGCCACCUCCCCAUCGCCAGUGGGCUACCCUCCUGCCACCUCACCAUCACCAGUGGGCUACCCUCCUGCCACCUCACCAUCACCAGUGGGAUACACUCCUGCCACCUCACCAUCCCCAUCAACAACAACAUCUCCAGCGCUAGCGCCAGGUCCAUCUUCAUCCCUUACACCAUUUCCUUCUCCACCCUCACCGCCCCCCGAGGGGCCCACACCGCCCUCCGAGGGGCCCACACCGGCCCCGUCCGCAGAGUCUGCGGGCCCCACACCACCGGGAACCGUUUCUCCGCCGCCCGGGACAGCGGACUCGACGGCUCCGAGACCGGCGGGGAGUGGAGCGUCGCAUAGUGUAACGGCUCCUUCGAGCGUGCUGGUGUCU
Molecule: long non-coding RNA, 670 nt
Filed under: Prunus persica (peach)
Lineage: Eukaryota; Viridiplantae; Streptophyta; Magnoliopsida; Rosales; Rosaceae
Description: long non-coding RNA (PPER_LNC004148)
Source: RNAcentral